Molecule: ribosomal RNA, 250 nt
Filed under: uncultured bacterium
Lineage: Bacteria
Description: partial 16S ribosomal RNA
Rfam family: Bacterial small subunit ribosomal RNA
Source: RNAcentral
UACGGAGGGUGCAAGCGUUACUCGGAAUCACUGGGCGUAGAGGGUGCGUAGGCGGCUAUUUAAGUCUGAUGUGAAAUCCAACGGCUUAACCGUUGAACUGCUUGGGAAACUGGUAGCCUAGAGUGAGGGAGAGGCAGAUGGAAUUGGUGGUGUAGGGGUAAAAUCCGUAGAGAUCACCAGGAAUACCCAUUGCGAAGGCGAUCUGCUGGAACUCGACUGACGCUGAGGCACGAAAGCGUGGGGAGCAAAC